UACAUGGGAGAAGAACCCAUAAUAUCUGGGUUACCUUGUUGUUCCACUGGGCAGACACGUAUCAUAGACCCGCUGAAGACUGCAAGUUGAGUAAAAAGACUGAGUUGAGAUGCCACGACCAAAGAAGAGAUCCACAAUAGCCAAGAGGCUGUAUGCACAACGAUGUGCAACAGAGGCAAGUCAAGCAGAGGUUCAGCCGCUUCCUCUUAAAAAAAUGGCAACUGCAGAGGUUCGGCCGCUUCCUCUUAAAAAAAUGGCAGAGGCUGCACAGCUUCCUCUUAAAAUAAGUCAAGCAGAGGCUGCACAGCUCCCUCUUAAAAUAAGUAGAGCCGAGGUAUCGCCACUUCCUCGUAAAACUAAGGUAGACUUGCCGGUGACGUCCGGCAAGUGCCAUCGUGCAAACCAACAGGUUCCACUCCGUCCUGUAUCAAAACGGGUAGAGGCUGCACCGCUUCCUCUUAAAAUAAGUCAAGCAGAGGUUGUGCCAAAUCCUCUUAAAAAACUGGUAGACAAUGAACGCCUGUGUUCAUUGUCCAAACAUACAAAUACAAAGAAUGAAAACCAAACAAACAAAUUUCCAGAGAAUUCAAAAAGUUUCCCAUAUGUUUCUCAAGAAUCUUUCAAAAACUCUCAAAAAUCUCUCAAAAACUCUCAACAAUCUCUCAAAAACUCAAAACAAUCUCUCAAAAACUCUCAACAAUUUCUCAAAUGUUCCAGAGAAUCUGCAGAAAGGUUUGUGGUCCGAAAAAAAUUUAAUGAGAAUGUCUUGAGCACUUUACCUGCGUGUUAUGACUUCUUUCCACAGAAAUCAUUGCUGAAAGGUUCCUUUCAUCAAGGUGAUGCACGCUUUGGAGAGUCACGCGGCAGACAGUGUGGUGCCAUCAGUCUGACAGCAGUGUUGAUGAGCAAGAUGAAGAACGUGUUGACCUGGACAACACAAGAUCUUAACGGUGUCUUGGUGGCAGGAACACGACUUUAUGAAUCUUUACGAAACCAGGGUAACAUAAAUGACCAAGAAGUCAUGGGUAGGCAUUACAUUGCAGUCCAUGAAUUGCCAAGGAGACAUGUGCUGGGUAAUACUGUAUUUUCCAUAGAGUAUGCAGAGUCUCUCACUGGAUUUGUUAAUGUUGAUGACUAUGAUGAAUCCUUAAGUAAUGUGGCCAUGCCAGUUGAUGUAGCUCUUCAGCGAGCUCUACUGAGUGCUGAAUCUUUCCUUUUAUGUAUUUGUGCCAACACAUGUGCAGUUAUUAAGGAGGGUUCAUGGUAUGCCUUUGUUGAUUCUCAUGCUAACAUGACGGAGACAAGUUGUGUUGCUUAUCACAGCACCAUAGAAUCUUUGUACAACUACAUUAAUGAGAUUGCGCACUCAUUUGGGGUAAUUGCGCCACGAUUUGAGAUAACUGGAGUUUCGGUUCAUGCAGAUGCUGAAGUUUCUCACUCGCUGGAGGCAGACCACAGCAGUUUUCCAUGCUCUUCGGGUAAGGAACUUUACAGUGAAGUUCUAAAACGCAAACCUAAGGUAUGUAAAUCUGUGCCAACUGAGGUAAGGUCAUCUGUCUUUCAAUUACCUGAGGUUGAAGUUCAAAAUGCAGGCACUAAUGUUCCCAUGCCUCAACCAGUGUGUAAUGUGUUGCCAAGUAAAGGAGAAAGAGGGAGAAGAAAAAAUCAGGAUGAACCCUUAAAGAAAUGGGCUAUAAAGACCCACUCACUGGAGGCAGACCACAGCAGUUGUCCGCAGGUCUCUGGUAAAGCACUUUACAGCGAAGUCUUAAAACGUACACCCAAGGUAUGUAAAUCUGUACCAACUGAGGUAAGGUCAUCUGUCUUUCAAUUACCUGAGGUUGAAGUUCAAAAUGCAGGAACUAAUGUUCCCAUGCCACAACCAGUGUGUAAUGUGUUGCCAAGUAAAGGAGAAAGAGGGAGAAGAAAAAAUCAGGAUGAACCCUUAGAGAUAUGGGCUACAAAGACCCACUCACUGGAGGCAGACCACAGCAGUUGUCCGCGGUCCUCUGGUAAAGCACUUUACAGCGAAGUCUUAAAACGCACACCCAAGGUAUGCAAAUCUGUGACAACUGAGGUAAGAUCAUCUGACAUCCAAUUACCUAAAGUUGAAGUUGAAAAUACAAGCAGCACUAACCUUUCAAUGUCGCAACCAGCGUGUAAUGUGUUGCCAAUUAAAGGAAAAAGGGGGAGAAGAAAAAAACAGCAUGAGCAGGUCUCUGAGAAACGGGUUAAAAAAUCUCAUGUUGAAAAUGUUGUAGUAGAUGACAUAAUUAUUACUGAUGUUUCAGUCCCAGAAGUGUUUUUUUCUCCCUUGACUCUUCGAGAUCAGCAAGCUUUAUGUGAACUCUUGCUUCUGACAAAUGAUAACAGUGACUGUGAUGUUACAACAAACUUUGGUCCCAUUGCAGGUCCGUGUCAGACAAAGAGUAUCAAACCAGAUGGUAACUGCUUUUUCAGAUCACUGGCAUAUGCAAUUUGUGGAAGUGAGGACAAGCAUUUGAAGAUUCGCCGUGCAGUUGUCAAACACCUGAAAAUGAAUGCUUCAAUAUUUGAGAGGUAUGUGAGAAGUGAGUAUACUUCAGUAGAGGACUACUUGACUCAAUCUAGAGUCUAUUAUUCUGGGUCAUGGGUCACUGAAAUUGACAUCUUUGCUUCUGCUGAUCUAUUUAAAACUACCAUAAUGACUUUUAAUGAUAGCCGGUGGAAUGCACACAAACCUACUGGAGAGGUAAUUGCAAACAAUGCAAUAUAUUUGAAAAACUGUAAUGGUAAUCAUUAUGAAGUUGUGACAUGUGUUAAGCACAGAGAUCAAGACAUUUGUGCAGGAAAGUGUGGGAAUGCCACUUCAAAUGAGGUGAGAAUGCCAUGUCUGCGUAAAAGGAAGGUAAGCGAUGCUGCACAGUAUGACCAAGAGAGAUACUUGAAAAAACUGAAGAAUGAGAAGUCCAAGUAUGAUAAUGACAUUGAUUUCAGACAAAAUAAAAUUGACUAUGCCAAAACAAAAUACUGUAGUGAUAAAGAUUAUAGACAGAAAAGAAUGAAAGUUCUUCGUGAUAAAUAUUUAAAAGAUCGUCAUGUUUGUUUGUUAAAGCGUGAACGUUCUAAGGCCAAGUAUUCAAGCAAUAUUCCGUUUCAGAAACGUGUUUGCCAGUAUUCUCAAAUGAAAUAUAAAAAUAAUAUCUCAUUUCAGGCAAUUGUACGUGAGUAUUCCAAGAAGAAAUAUCUUCAAAACCUGGACUUUAAAGCAAGAGUACGUGAGUAUUCCAAGAAGAAAUAUCUUCAAAACCUGGACUUUAAAGCAAGAGUACGUGAGUAUUCUAAAAAGAAAUAUGCCCAAAACCUGGUCUUUAAAGCAAGAGUGUGUGAGUAUUUGAAGACAAAAUAUCACAAAGAUGUAAACUUUCAUUUCAGUAAAAUACAAAAAGGCUGUGAGGUGUAUGCAAAAAACAGGGAAAAGCACAAGGACAUUUGUGUUGCCAUCGCCAGUUUUCGUCAAGAAGUUAGUAGAGGUCCAGAGUUUGUGUGCUGUGUCUGUCAUCGUUUACUUUUCAGAAAGCAGGUUACUGAAUGCAAGCCAGAAUGCUAUGAAGACAAAGGAGAAGAAAUUGCUGCUUUGGCAAGAAGAUGCAUCACACUGAGGUAUGUGCACGUUUGUGAUGAAAGAUGUCAUAAUCCAUCUGUUUCUUCUCCAAGGUGCAAAUUGUGGAUUUGUCCAACCUGUCAUCGAAAAAUCAUCAGCGGAAAACUGCCUGAAGAGAGUGUUGCUAACAAUAUGCAUUUGGUGGACAUUCCAAAUCAACUAAAGUGUCUUAACUCUUUGGAACAACAUCUUGUGGCACGUAAUAUCCCUUUUUUGAAGUUACUCUGUCUUCCACGCGGAAAACAAAAUGGCUGCCACGGACCCGUCGUGUGUGUUCCUGUAAAUACUGCAGAGGUGUCAAAUAUUCUUCCACGAAAUGAAUGUGAUGACAAGAUGAUAAGGAUAAAAUUGAAGCGCAAGUUAACAUACAAAGGGCAUUAUGAGUACAAGCAUGUACACACUGAUCGUGUUAGAAAUGCUCUAAGAUGUUUGAUCAGGUGCAAUAAAUGGUACAAGGAUGUGGAGAUUAAUGAACAAUGGAUAAACUCUUUGAAUGAACCAGAAGAGAAUGCUGCUGAUGAAAUGGAGGAACAGGCUGAAGUUGAAAAGAGUGAAGAGGAAAAUGAUACCGAAGAACAGCCAGAGGAAGACUUGACUUACAUCAAAGAGCAGAGUGGUCUUUUGUCAGACACAUGUUUACAACCUGUGGAUCUUGGUUCAGAAGUUAUUGAUCAGCAUUUUCAAGAUGUAUUAAAUGUGGCACCAGCUGAAGGUAACAGUCCUGUUAAGUUACUGUCAGAUAAAAGCAAUGAAGCAAAAUGUUUUCCUGUUCUCUUUCCAACUGGUGGUGCAACAUUCCACGAUGAGAGGGAAAAAAAGAUCACACUGUCACGAUACUUAAAUGCAAGAAUCCUAAACGCAGAUGGGCGUUUUGCACGGAGCACAGACUUUAUUUUCUAUGCACAAUACAUGUCGGAGUUGGAUCAAAUUGUAUCUAAUGUUUCCAUUGCUUUGCGAAAAGGGUCUGACAAGAGGUUGUUGCAAGGAAUAACCUCGGAUAUGCUGACAAACCCAGGGUCAUUAGCUAAAAUAUUGAAUUAUGAUGAAGGAUACAAGUUUUUGAGACCAAUCCGUGGAACGCCACCCUAUUGGCAAUCGACUCAAAAAGACCUUUUUGCACUCAUAAGACAACUAGGUAUUCCAACUUUCUUUGCAUCCUUCAGCUCUGCUGAUCUCAGAUGGCCUGAAAUGAUUAACACUAUCCUGGAGCAAGAACAGAAAAAUGUCAGUGUUGAUGAGCUUGACUGGUCUGAGAAAUGUGGACUAAUUAGACGAAACCCAGUCACUGCUGCAAGGAUGUUUGAUUAUAGAUGGCAUUGUUUUUUGAAAGAUGUCAUUAUGUCACCCGCUGAACCUAUUGGAAAGAUCAAAGACUACUUUUAUCGUGUAGAGUUUCAACAGCGUGGAUCUCCUCAUGUUCAUUGUCUGUUUUGGGUUGAAAAUGCUCCAAAGUUAAAUGAAGACAAUGAAGACAAUGAUGCUUUGGUUGCUGCUUUCAUAGAUCAUUAUAUCACUUGUAAGACACCAGUAGAAGAUGACACUGAACUGUAUGAGACUGUGAACAGUGUUCAAAAGCACAGCAGCAGACAUUCCAAGACAUGCCGGAAGAAAAACACAGUGUGUAGAUUUAAUUUUCCACGACCUCCAUCUAGCCGCACCUUUAUAGCAAGAGCCAUAUCAGAUGACUUGAAAGGCAAUGAUGGAAAUGAGACUGCAAGUGCAAUUCUGAAGAAAAUCAAAACUGCGUUAAUCGAAUCUGAAGUCAAUUUUGAUUCAACAGAUGCCUUUUUCCAAUCCAUUGGAAUUAAUCAAGCUGUGUUUGAGAAGGCGUACAAGAAAUGUUCUAAAAAGAAAAGUGUCGUCUUGAAACGAAGUCCAAAAGAUGUUUGGGUAAAUCAAUAUAAUCCUCAUUUAUUGCGUGCAUGGCAGGGCAACAUGGAUAUCCAGUAUGUCACAGAUGCCUACUCUGUAGUGGUUUAUAUUAUUAGUUACAUCACAAAAGCUGAACAAGAAAUGGGACUUUUGUUGCAACGUGCCCAAAAUGAAGCUAUGAAUGGAAAUCUUGAAGCAAGAUCAUCAUUAAAAAUGUUGGGAAGUGUAUAUCUACACAAUAGAGAAGUUUCAGCACAAGAGGCAGUGUAUCGCCUAGUGGGUAUGCACUUGAAAGAAUGCUCUCGCAAAGUACAGUUUAUUCCAAUUGGAACCGAUCCUGUGAAGAUGAGUUUGCCUUUGCGUGUUCUUCAAAACAAAGAUGACCAUUCUGGUGAAGAAAGCUGUUUUUGGAUGAAUAGUUUGGUUGACCGAUACAAGAGUAGACCGAAAACAGAACAUUUUGAGAUUCUGUGUCUGGGCAGUUUUUGUUCAGAAUACAGGAUAUUGUCAACAUCUGAGCUAUCUUCACAAAACAAAGAAAAUGUGAUCAAGCUUGACAACAAUUGUGGUUAUAUGAUAAGAAGAACUCGAACUGAACCUGCAGUAAUAAGGUAUCCAAGAUUUUCACCAACAAAAGAUCCAGAAAAGUACUAUCAUUCACUGCUUCAACUUUUUUUACCACAUUAUGAAGAUUGCCAGCUGAAGCCUGAGAAGUUCCACACUUAUGAGGACUUCUACAAUAAUGGUGCUGUGAAAUGUGGAAGUAAUGUGACCGAAGUAAAAUCUAUUGUUGAUUCUAAUCGAGCACUGUUUGAAAAGGACAGCGAUGAAAUGGACAGAGCUCAACAGGUUUUGGAGCUGGGUGUUGAUUUGGAAGAUGCUUGGGCUGCAUUGUGUCCUGAAACAGAGAAGCAGCGCCAUGAAUGUAUUGAGCUAAAGAAGAAUAACGUACUUCCUGAAGAAGAUGAUUCUGACACACUUAUCCCAGAUCUUGUAGCGAAUCCUCGAACUGCGUUCACAAUUGAGAACAGUAAUGCUACAAUGUCUCGAGAUGAAGCAUUGGGUUUGCUAAGAUCAUUAAAUGCUAAACAGUCUGCAAUAUUUUACAACGUUCGCGACUGGUGUUUACAAAAACUGCAUGGAGAAAAUCCUGAACCGUUUCGCUUGUUUGUUACUGGUGGAGCAGGUACAGGAAAAAGCCAUUUAAUCAAAGCAAUAUGCUAUGAAUCUUCUAGACUCUUGUCUCAGCUGUCUGACAAUCCUGAUGAUAGGAGUGUGAUUUUAUGUGCAUCAACUGGAGUAGCCGCAUACAACAUUGGCGCUGCUACCAUACACCACACUUUUUCAAUUGGAGCUAAUGUCAAACUGCCAUAUCAACCACUAAGUGAUGACAAAAUCAAUUCUCUGCGUUCCAAACUUGGAUGUUUGCAGAUUUUGAUUAUUGAUGAAGUAUCCAUGGUUGACCAUCACCUUUUGUCAUAUGUUCAUGGGAGAUUGAGACAAAUCAAACAAACUGGUGAUUACUCCCUCUUUGGAAAAGUAAGUCUUGUAGCUGUAGGAGAUUUUUAUCAGCUGCCGCCUGUCAAAGGAACUCCACUCUAUGCUGAUACAAAAGGAGUAAACCUUUGGGAAAACAACUUUGAAAUUGCUGAAUUAACUGAAGUUGUUCGGCAACAAGAUGUAACUUUUGCUGAAACUUUAAAUCGUCUGAGAGUUCGUAAAAAAAAUGAACCUCUAAGCUCAAGUGACAUCAACAUGUUGAAGCAACGUGAAACAGGAGAGGAAUGCGGGGAUGUUCAUAUAUUUCCUACAAAUAAAGAGGUUGAUGAAUACAAUGUUCAGAGACUAAAUGAGGUUUGUCCUGAGGCAAUCAGUAUUCGAGCACAAGAUUUUGUGAGAAAUCCAAAAACUGGAAGGAUUGAAAAAAAAGUUGGAUUUCAUUCAACCGUUUUCAACUCCUGUUUGGCUAAAUGUGUUUCCUUGGGUGUUGGAGCAAGAGUUAUGUUAAAGAAGAACAUUGAUGUUUCGGAUGGACUUGUCAAUGGAGCGUUUGGUUCCGUUGUCCAUAUUAGCAGAAGUCAAAAACAGGAAGAUGAUUAUGAUGAUGACUUUCCAUCAACCAUUCAUGUGGAAUUUGAUGAUCCAAAUGUGGGAAAAAUUCAGAGAUCAAACCAACGACAUAGAUUUUCCCAAAAUUCUACAGCAAUUGAAGUUCAAGAAGAUCAAGUCACAACCAAUGGUGGUUUAAGACGCCAAUUUCCACUUAGACUGGCAUGGGCAUGCACUGUUCACAAAGUGCAAGGGCUCACAGUAGAUAAAGCUGUUGUAUCCCUUGACAAGAUCUUUACUGCAGGACAAGCAUAUGUUGCAUUGAGUCGUGUGAGAACUCUCAAUGGAUUAAUAAUUCAAAACUUCAAGGAGUCUGCAAUAUACUGUAAUGAUCAAAUUGACCUGGCAAUGAAAAAUAUACCAAAAUUUCCAUUAGAAAGUCACACUUUCUCAAAGACACCUGGUAUAUUUACAAUUGCUCUUCACAAUGUGCAAAGUCUUCAAGCUCAUGUUCAAGAUAUUCAAGCUCACAGACAACUUAUGAAUGCUGAUUGUAUUUGUUUAACUGAAACAUGGCUAAAAGUUGAAGACCAAGUACAAAUACCAGGAUUUAUUUUCAAGCAUAACCCGAGAGCUAAGUGCUAUGACAACAGCACUCCACUUUUCAGUAAUUUAAAACAACAGCGAGGAGGUGGAGUUGCUAUUUACUGUUGUGAAAAUAUGUUUUUUAACGUCAUCACUCCAGAACCUUGCAACCUUGAAUGUUUGUACUUCUCAGUUCCACAUAUCAGUUUGAAUGCUGCUCUGCUGUACAGGCCAAAUUCAUAUCACAUUGAUGUGUUUCGACAAAAUCUGUUACAUGUCAUUACUGAGCUGGAAAAACAUCCAGGAAAGAAAGUAAUUAUGGGAGACUUCAAUGAGGACAUCUUAACAUCAUCUUCAGUUGGGAAACUAAUGGAAGUCCAUGGAUACAGUCAACAUGUGCAAUGUCCAACAACUGAAAAGGGUACGUUAAUAGACCAUGUCUACAUUAAAGAUGCAGAAAAUGUUACAAUUGAAAUUGUUUCAACUUAUUAUAGUUACCAUGAAGCAGUACUAGUUUCAGUAAGGUAAUUUAUAUUUCUGAAAUAUAAUGAAGACUGUAUAACUGCAUUUUUCUUUUCUGUGCCCCUACCAUGCGGCAAUUAAUCUGAGAUUGAAGUCCAUGAAGGUCUGUUCAAUUUCACAAGUGAAAACGAUUCCAAGGUCCUUAAAGUCCUGACCAUUCCAUAUCAAGUCCUGUCCAGUAAUCAUCCAGCACAACACGGCAUCUCCCAUAAUUGCUCUUCUUUCCGGA
Pimephales promelas (fathead minnow) is the source of this 8900-nucleotide non-coding RNA. Lineage: Eukaryota; Metazoa; Chordata; Actinopteri; Cypriniformes; Leuciscidae. The record is from RefSeq and is a predicted model, not a curated record.